AUGUAUGCACAUCAUGUUCUGGAACAUUUAACUAAAGCAUUUUUUUCUUCUUUUCUUUCAGUUGAGGAGGUUAAGACCAGGGCUUUAUCCUUGAGAACACAGUUCUCAAUGUUAAUUAAACCCAAACCUAGUGGGAGUGGGAACAAACCCCUGACACCUAGGCAGAGGUGGCUUCUCAGGGUUAUGGAUUUUAUUUUAAAAAAAAAACAUAUUGUUCAACGUCCAUGUGAGACCACUUUUCAUUUGCCACCCAGUGACCAGGAUAACACAGAAGACCUAGACGACUAUGAUCUUGAUUAUAGUACAGAUUCCCUCAAUGAGUUGCAGACCCCACUGUCUAGACCUAAUACACCAACACCUACAUCACAUACCUCCUCCCCUGUUGAAUGUUUAGAUUCCCCAUCAACUUCCAGCAGAAAUGCAGGGGUGGAGUCGAGCACAAGGGGAAUAAAACACAAGGCCAAAGCAGUAUCUGAUGUUGAGCUGCAGAAGCUAGCUGUUUUGACGGAAAUGGCAGCAAAAGUUGAGGUCGACCCAACACUGGAUGCAUUCACCACUUUUGGAAACCAGAAACAAACCACAAACAUUUGCUUGACCAUCCGCAACAGCAGCACAUUGAAAAGGUGAAAUAUGAGCCAGACAUUCUUGACAGAUUUCCUGAGAUUCAUUGAUUCAGAGCAGACUAAUAAUCAUCUGUCAGACCACUCAGAAACUCAUCUGACAACCUACAAAAGGUCUUUCCACCUCCAUCACACCAGUGACCAGAUGAAUAAUGCAUCUGACCUCUCAGAGAGUAAAUAUAAUAUUUAAUUGAAAGAUCUUGAACGGUCACAUUAGGUAAGUGCUGCUUCCUCCACCAGACAGCGCCAUCUAUCAGCCACAACAUCCAACAUCAGGUUAAAACAGGAAUUCUAAAAAAAAAAUAGAUAAAACGAGAAUAAAAAAGGAACACUUCACCA
Molecule: long non-coding RNA, 959 nt
Organism: Cyprinus carpio (common carp)
Lineage: Eukaryota; Metazoa; Chordata; Actinopteri; Cypriniformes; Cyprinidae
Source: Ensembl